UGGUAGAGUAUACCAAGGCGCUUGAGAGAACUAUGUUGAAGGAACUCGGCAAAAUGACUCCGUAACUUCGGAAUAAGGAGUGACUUUAUAAAGGCAACUUUAUAAAGUUGUCACAAAAUCGGGGACAGCGACUGUUUAACAAAAACACAGGUCUCUGCUAAUUCGUAAGAAGAUGUAUUGAGGCUGACGCCUGCCCAGUGCUGCAAGAUUAAAGGAAAAAGUCUUUUGGCUUUGACCCUAACCCCCAGUAAACGGCGGCUGUAACUCUGACGGUCCUAAGGUAGCGAAAUUCCUUGGCAUUUGAUUGGUGUCCUGCAUGAAUGGCGUAACGACUGUCCCACUGUCUCCAACAUAAGCUCAGUGAAAUUGAAUUGUUCGUGAAGAUGCGAACUACUUGCAGCUAGACGGAAAGACCCCGUGCACCUUUACUAUAAUUAUACAUUGUAAUGAAUUUUUUUUUGUGUAGAAUAAGUGGGAAGUUGUUAUUUAAUUACUUGCGCUAGCAAGUAAAAUAAACACCGUUGAAAUACCACUCUAAAAACUUUUCAUUACUUAUUGAUUAAGACAUUGUAUAAUGGGUAGUUUGACUGGGGCGGUCGCCUC
Molecule: ribosomal RNA, 603 nt
Filed under: Kryptoperidinium foliaceum
Lineage: Eukaryota; Dinophyceae; Peridiniales; Kryptoperidiniaceae
Description: partial Bacterial large subunit ribosomal RNA
Rfam family: Bacterial large subunit ribosomal RNA
Source: RNAcentral